CUAGCUACAGACUGCUACUGACGAACAUAAGAGCACCACUUGGCUCAGUCUGGCGGUGCUAUAGCACACACAAUCCUCUGCUCCCCAACCCCUCUAUUGCUGCAACAUUGGAACAAAGCAGGUAGCAAUUCAUGUUUCAAUGGAUGCUGGAAGCAUCUGAGAGAAGCAGUCUCUCUGUGAAGAUGUUUUGCCGCAGAACAUCUGCUCCCCCUUGGUCACCCCAACUGCAAAUGUGAUAUGAAAACAGCUGACUGGAAGAACUAGGAGUGAGGCAGAAUGGGUAAACCCCCCAUGCCAAGCAAAAAGUUUGAAAGAUGUUUACAUUAUUUUGCCGACCAAGGGCAAGAUGGAUGGAUGGCAUCCUUGAAGUGACUGGACUGACCUUGAAGGAGCUGGGGGUGGUGACGGCUGACAGGGAGCUCUGGCAUGGACUGGUCCAUGAGGUCACGAAGAGUCGGAGACGACUGAACGAAUGAACAACAACUUACAUUAUUUUAAUAUUCUAAACACGAAAACGUGGGUCCUGCUUCCUGCCUCUCUAACUGAUUGACUUUUCCAAACUGGUUGAAGGUAGUUCUUGACAUGUCAGAAUUUUUGAAAAGGCAUUCCUCUCUGUCAUAUCAAGGAAAUUGGUAAGCUUCACAAAGACUGAAAUGCACCAUUACAAAAAUUGUUCCUCUCAGUCUUAUUAUGAUGAAUUUACUAUUGCUGAUUGUUUUGCCAUGAAUGUAACCUGUGCUUUGAAGAUUAUACAUUAUUUUGAAACCUCUUUUGAUG
Long non-coding RNA from Anolis sagrei ordinatus, 777 nucleotides. RefSeq lists it as uncharacterized. The record is from RefSeq and is a predicted model, not a curated record. NCBI's taxonomy places the organism in Eukaryota, Metazoa, Chordata, Lepidosauria, Squamata, Anolidae.